This 871-nucleotide long non-coding RNA is filed under the name Homo sapiens (human). RNAcentral describes it as "long intergenic non-protein coding RNA 1350". The record is from RNAcentral. Lineage: Eukaryota; Metazoa; Chordata; Mammalia; Primates; Hominidae.
AGGCAAGGCCAAGGCUUCUUGAAAGGCUGGUCAUGCCCCAGUGAUCAAUGAAGAACUCAGGGAUAUCCCAAAACUCAGGACUAUAAGGCACAAUGGGGGAGCAGGUACCAGGUGGCCAGCAUCCUAAAUGACUCUCAGCAGCUGCAGAGAACAUUCUCAUAAAAGAGAAUCAGUCAUCCUGAGGUAUAGAAUGCUGGGGCCCUUCCAUUACUCCAUGCACUGGGGAAGAACUAGAAUUGUGAGAAGAGCUUUCACGCUCCCAUAACCAUUCCUUGGCCCACCUCCAAGAAAAGGCAGGCUGGCCUCUGUUUAGGUGUUGUCUGUGCUUGCAUUCCCAACGUUGACAUGAGGAAUUAUCAAUGGGUUCCGGACAUAAUCAGCCACACGGCAGAGUGAAUUCCAGGAGUGUAAAUAACAAGAGCUGCCUAUAAAUCUACCUCAGAAGACAAAGGGAAAAGCAAAACUCUGCCCAGGAAGACCUUACUUUACAAACCAGGUGACCAAAUUUCUAAAACAUCAUUCCCGUAAUCCCUGAUCAACAGAAAGGAAGCUCUGGAAGCAUGAAUGCUCAACCAUAUUUACCAGCCUUCCUGUGGUCAUUUGUCUGAGCUCCAGCUAGUGAAGUAUGAGUAGAACGGACAUGCACCACUUCCAGACCUGGCACCGGCAAACCCCCCAUGGCAACCCUCCAACCCUUUCCUCAACAACUGGACCACGCUGGAAAGGACUGAGGAUCUAGAGGAGGACAGGGCUGUAAUAUGGAAGGAGUUUGGUUUCUGAAGGACCAUGUAGCAGGCCACCUGCAGGGCGGGAACAUCUUUAAUAGGUUUGGAAUAGCAAGAAAUAAACUGGUCUUGUAUUAAACAACUAA